Molecule: ribosomal RNA, 479 nt
Filed under: Actinomyces oris
Lineage: Bacteria; Bacillati; Actinomycetota; Actinomycetes; Actinomycetales; Actinomycetaceae
Description: bacterial SSU rRNA
Rfam family: Bacterial small subunit ribosomal RNA
Source: RNAcentral
AGGGAUGGAGGCCUUCGGGUUGUAAACCUCUUUCGCCAGUGAAGCAGGCCUGCUCCUUGUGGGUGGGUUGACGGUAGCUGGAUAAGAAGCGCCGGCUAACUACGUGCCAGCAGCCGCGGUAAUACGUAGGGCGCGAGCGUUGUCCGGAAUUAUUGGGCGUAAAGAGCUCGUAGGCGGCUGGUCGCGUCUGUCGUGAAAUCCUCUGGCUUAACUGGGGGCUUGCGGUGGGUACGGGCCGGCUUGAGUGCGGUAGGGGAGACUGGAACUCCUGGUGUAGCGGUGGAAUGCGCAGAUAUCAGGAAGAACACCGGUGGCGAAGGCGGGUCUCUGGGCCGUUACUGACGCUGAGGAGCGAAAGCGUGGGGAGCGAACAGGAUUAGAUACCCUGGUAGUCCACGCCGUAAACGUUGGGCACUAGGUGUGGGGGGCCUUUUCCGGGUCUUCCGCGCCGUAGCUAACGCAUUAAGUGCCCCGCCUGG